CACGUUGCCCCGGCGGGCAGCCCCUCUCGGGAGGGGCGAACGGGCCCCGGCCCGCCCGCCGGGGGGACGAAAACCAAACUCUUGUUGCGAACGCAGUGGCACAUCCGAGUCAAACAAAAAAACAAGUUAAAACUUUCAACAACGGAUCUCUUGGUUCUGGCAUCGAUGAAGAACGCAGCGAAAUGCGAUAAGUAAUGUGAAUUGCAGAAUUCAGUGAAUCAUCGAAUCUUUGAACGCACAUUGCGCCCGCCAGUAUUCUGGCGGGCAUGCCUGUUCGAGCGUCAUUUCAACCCCUCGGGCCCCCGGGCCCGGCGUCGGGGCCUUCCCGCCUCCGGGCGGGAGCCCCCAGAGACAGUGGCGGACCCGCCGCGGCUCCGAGCGCAGUAAUCUUGCAACGCUCCGGUGCCCCGCGGCGGGCCUCCUGCCGUGAAACACCCCACUCCACAAGGUUGACCUCGGAUCAGGUAGGAAUACCCGCUGAACUUAAGCAUAUCAAUAAGCGGAGGAAAAGAAACCAACAGGGAUUGCCCCAGUAACGGCGAGUGAAGCGGCAACAGCUCAGAUUUGAAAUCGGGCCCCCAGGGUCCGAGUUGUAAUCUGUAGAGGAUGCUUCUGGCAAGGCGCCGUCCGAGUUCCCUGGAACGGGACGCCGGAGAGGGUGAGAGCCCCGUACAGGCGGACGCCGAGCCUCUGUGAAGCUCCUUCGACGAGUCGAGUAGUUUGGGAAUGCUGCUCAAAGCGGGAGGUAAAUUUCUUCUAAAGCUAAAUAUUGGCCAGAGACCGAUAGCGCACAAGUAGAGUGAUCGAAAGAUGAAAAGCACUUUGAAAAGAGGGUUAAAAAGCACGUGAAAUUGUUGAAAGGGAAGCGCCUGUGACCAGACUCGCGCCCGGCGGAUCAUCCGGCGUUCUCGCCGGUGCACUCCGCCGGGCUCGGGSSRGCAUCGGUUCUGGUGGGGGGAUAAAGGCGGCGGGG
Molecule: ribosomal RNA, 973 nt
Filed under: fungal sp.
Lineage: Eukaryota; Fungi
Description: eukaryotic LSU rRNA
Source: RNAcentral